ACCCUGAGUCAGAAAAACGUUUUCGCAUUUCCUAAAAGACGUUUUUUUCACUCAGGCAUA
This 60-nucleotide microRNA precursor is filed under the name Gyrodactylus salaris (gyrodactylosis fluke). RNAcentral's name for it is "lin-4 stem-loop (gsa-lin-4)". Its record names the gene gsa-lin-4. Lineage: Eukaryota; Metazoa; Platyhelminthes; Monogenea; Gyrodactylidea; Gyrodactylidae. The record is from miRBase by way of RNAcentral.